CCCAGUUUAACCAGGCCUUAAAAUUCUAAAUAUUCCAACCGUCUCGUGUAGACUAGGUGUUAAGAUUAUUUUAUCAUCCCUGUUUUUUUUUUCUUGUUGACAACAGAAAGAAUGAUGUAUGUGAGAAUAUGAAUGUUUGUGUAUUUCUUUCUCUUCUCUCUGGCUAGUUGGUAAUUUGGGUAUCUGCCGCGCAAAAUCUACGAACUAGAAAUACAAUCUACAUAGCAGGCGAUAGAAAUAGAAAAUUAGUUUGUUAAAAUGAAGAUUGAGGAACAAUCUGAAAGAAUAAAACAAAAUAUUGUUGCCGGUUGCAUCUUAAAGAAGGCUGAACUCAGAGAAUUCCUCAUCCGUAAGCCCGCAAGAGAUGGUUCCUCUGGUGUAGAGAUGUGUGUCAUACCCUCACGUAUUGAAAUCAUCAUCAUAGUUACCGAAACCUAACAGAUCUUGAGUCAUCACCGGAAAGUUGCGUGGUCAGCGUGCAAAAUCAAUUUGACGAUUUAAUGAAUAUCGCCACACGUCAUGUUCUGUUGCUUCAAGGAGUGGUGGGUCAAAGAUUUUGGCCAGCAGUAUUCACCGAGCGCUCAUAAUAUGUUUCGAAACUCAACUAAAAAAUCCUACUUGUUUAGCUCAUAAAUAUUUCCUUUCAGUUGGCUAGUGAGUGGUUUUUUUCGAGUUGUGAUUCUCAUACAGUUAUGAACCCUCGGUGAAUACGAGCUACGGCCCCAAGAACAAAAUUAGUCCAAAGAAGCCAUUGUCAGUGUUUUUGUACUCUGUUGUGGAGAGUCGAGACUGAGGAGGAAUGGAUUUACGAAACCUCUGGAGGAGUUUGCCGAGGCCAUUUAAAUUGGGGAAGGACGUCUGAGGACUCUAUUGUUUUUCUUACCAGGCUAAAAGUCUUGUGUUUAAAGCCUCUCAUAACAAAUAAAAGGAAUAUGUAUAUUGAAUUGAUUUAUAAUUUUUUUUAAU
Long non-coding RNA from Episyrphus balteatus (marmalade hoverfly), 966 nucleotides. RefSeq lists it as uncharacterized. The record is from RefSeq and is a predicted model, not a curated record. The transcript has 2 exons. Lineage: Eukaryota; Metazoa; Arthropoda; Insecta; Diptera; Syrphidae.